UGGAUAAAAGCUAAGUCCGACUCCUGCACGUCCUGAUGCCUGUGCUAGCAAUGUGGCUGUUACGGCACACAUAGCCAGACACAAAGGGAAAUUCUGACGCUUCCGGGGCCAGCCCACAACAACAGCCCUGCAGCAAACUGAUGUAAGUAAAGUUCCCACUGAAGUUCUGGCACGCACAUCUAGUAAUCUCAGAGUGCUGGAACUUCAGUGGGAAACACUUCGUAACAC
Molecule: non-coding RNA, 228 nt
Organism: Pelobates cultripes (western spadefoot toad)
Lineage: Eukaryota; Metazoa; Chordata; Amphibia; Anura; Pelobatidae
Source: the annotation of a GenBank genome assembly